RNAcentral lists this ribosomal RNA (128 nucleotides) under Ganoderma gibbosum. RNAcentral describes it as "5.8S ribosomal RNA". It matches the Rfam family "5.8S ribosomal RNA", at positions 1 to 127 of the family's 154-position model. From Rfam's summary of the family: 5.8S ribosomal RNA (5.8S rRNA) is a component of the large subunit of the eukaryotic ribosome. It is transcribed by RNA polymerase I as part of the 45S precursor that also contains 18S and 28S rRNA. Functionally, it is thought that 5.8S rRNA may be involved in ribosome translocation. The record is from RNAcentral. Lineage: Eukaryota; Fungi; Basidiomycota; Agaricomycetes; Polyporales; Polyporaceae.
CAACUUUCAGCAACGGAUCUCUUGGCUCUCGCAUCGAUGAAGAACGCAGCGAAAUGCGAUAAGUAAUGUGAAUUGCAGAAUUCAGUGAAUCAUCGAAUCUUUGAACGCACCUUGCGCUCCUUGGUAUU